AAACAUCAUGCUUUAGAUCACUGCGCAUCCUGAACCCUGUGCAGCAAUCUAGUUCGCAUCCCCCCUCACUUCCAGAGACUUAAGACAUACCUCCAAAUUUGAUCUUCCACCUCCAACACCCUCAGAACCAGGGCUUGGGGUGUGGUACCUUGAGACUAUCAGAUCUGGAUCUGAACCAUCGAUGAGGAGGAGUCCUUGAUGGACUAGGAUUCCAUGGCAGCAUCUUCCCAAACCGCAGUCGUUUUUUGUGCGCUCAAUCUUGGCCCUUAUAGACCUCUGAUCUGAACCAAAUCAAAGCCCAAACCACCCCA
RNAcentral lists this long non-coding RNA (311 nucleotides) under Elaeis guineensis (African oil palm). RNAcentral's name for it is "long non-coding RNA (EGUI_LNC028682)". Lineage: Eukaryota; Viridiplantae; Streptophyta; Magnoliopsida; Arecales; Arecaceae. The record is from RNAcentral.